This 351-nucleotide ribosomal RNA is filed under the name Matileola thaii. RNAcentral describes it as "12S ribosomal RNA". The record is from RNAcentral. Lineage: Eukaryota; Metazoa; Arthropoda; Insecta; Diptera; Keroplatidae.
UUAAAUUUAAAAUUUUAUACAUUAGAUUAGUAAUUGUUAAAUUCUUGAAAAUUAAAAAAUUUGACGGUAUUUUAUCUAAUUAGAGGAACUUGUUUUUAAAUUGAUAAUCCUCAUUAAAUCUUACUUAAUUUUAAAAAUUUAUAUACCGUCAUUAUAAAAAUCUUUAUAAAGAAAAAAUUUUUAUUGUAAGUAAUUAUUUAAUAUUUUAGAUCAAGGUGUAAUUUUAUUUAAGUUAAAAUGAGUUACAAUAAAAUUAUUUAUACGAAAUAUAAUUUGUAAAUUAUUAUAUGAAGGUGGAUUUAAUUGUAAAUUUAAAAAUUAAAUUAAAUUGAUUAUAGAUUUAAAAUGUGU